This is a long non-coding RNA of Podarcis raffonei (Aeolian wall lizard), 3554 nucleotides long. RefSeq lists it as uncharacterized. The transcript is spliced from 3 exons. NCBI's taxonomy places the organism in Eukaryota, Metazoa, Chordata, Lepidosauria, Squamata, Lacertidae. The record is from RefSeq and is a predicted model, not a curated record.
AAGGGAAGGAGGUCACGGGGUUAGAGGGCGGAUUAAAGGCCCCCACCUGUCUCGAAAUCCCGGACAACCGUCCCAAAAUCUGAAACAAGGAGGGAUCAAAACCGUACUUUUGGGACGUAGGGUGAAAAGGGAGUCACGGGAGAUUUUUCAGCCUAAAACAAAAACAUGAAGUCUGGGGACAAGCGGCUGAGAAACCGGGACGUGUCAUUCAGGUCCUGAACUCUUCCCAAGGAAAUUCAGAGCCUUCUCUUUCUUCGCUUGCUCAACAAAUAAACGGUGAAGGGAAGCCCACUGCGUCUCCUUCCGGAUAGCUUUUGUUUGUCUGGGCAAGGCAAGGCACCAUUUCCAGCAUCAUCUUAGCAGCCGAAUGGGUCGCUUUUUCUCCUCUUCACUGCAGAUAUAAAUAUGCGAAGCCCUUCAGGAGGAAGGAGCCAUGAGUUAAAAUUCUGGUUCCAUCCAAGCCAAUUACAAAACACCUAUUGAUUUUUUAGCCGAGCCAAAAUUUCACCCAUAAUCCUCGCCCCUGGGACACAGAUUCACGCGCCAUUGGAGCUGGACAGUACCUCAAAUGAGAGUCUGGCACAACUCAGGAGGAGGAAGUGAGGAUAAAAUGGUAGCCUCAGGGGCUGCAACUGAUUUGCAUAAUCAAUUUAAUUUUUGCCAUCUUGGAGGACUCCAAACACCAACUGCUUGAGCGGUCACACUCAUCAGUCUACAAUAUCCUUGUUCUAAAUGUGAUAACCUCAGGUGUGGAAAAGGCCACAGCCCUUUGACAGAUCUUACAAUAUGGACAUUACCACUUCAAGCAAAGACUUUUUUGGGGGGCACAUCUGUUUUGAGAUGCAGGCAAUAUAAACUCCAUGAAAUUUACACCCUCUGUGCCAAGAUGUCAUGAGAGUUAUACCCACCUGUGUAAGCCAAAACCACAAAAACUUUAAAAAUUCCCUAGGAGUGUUUUAAUGGAGAGAAGGAAGAGAGAGCCCAUGUUACAGUUUCAGGCAGUGGAGAAGUUUUUGACUUAACAAUUUUUAAGACAAAUUGAGAACAAGGCCUCAAUGAGAUCAUCCACUGAUGUGGGGUAGAGAGGCAUCCUUUCCACCCACCCAGGGGUGGUCCUAGCUUGACAAACAAAGGAAUUAUCUAUGGUGAAUGCUUUUAUCAUUCUCUCAGACAACAGCAACAGGCCUACAAGGUCAGGAAGACUGGCUAGGAGAGCAGGAAUGAAUGACACCACCAGGGAUUACUAUGAAAACAUACCUGACUAUAAAGUUCUGGGGAAGAAGAUAAAGCAUCUUGGGGCUCUGGUAAAGUUCUCAUCAAGGUAGAGGACUACACAGAGAGAUCACAGUUCAGGGGAACUAUUCUCCUAAGUAGCAGCAUGUUUCUUGGACUAUUGUGUAAGCUUCCUAAAGAAGGAAGGUAGGCUGCACCUUGGGAAAUGUAUCUGGCAGAAGAAUGGCAAACCUGAGCAAGAGGGACAUAAUCAAAUACUGUGUGGGAUGGCUCCAAUAGCCGAAAGCUAAGUACAAAAUGAAGCACUAAAUAUAUGGAUGUGGCUGCUACUGGAGAAACUGGGAAAGUUGAGGAGAUGCCCAGCAAACCCUACGCUAAAAUAGCAGGAGAGAUAUCAGAGUAGAAUAUCCAAAGCUUUAAACUUCUAUGCUAAUGCAUAGAGUAUGGGAAAUGAACAAGAUGAACUUCAACUUCUUGAACGAGAAAGUAAAUACAAAUUGAUCCACAUAACUGAGACUUAGUGGGACAUGAUUAGAAAAUAGCAAUUGAAGGAUGUAGCUUGUUCUAAAAAACCCCAAUUUUCAUAUUCUGAAAUAAAUGCUAGGUAGAAUUAAAUGGCUAUUUCUACUCAUGAGAAAAGAAAUCCAAGACAGGUGACAGUUCCCGAAUAACAAAUUACUAAAGGCACAAUCACCAAUAAUUCCAAGGAGAAUGAAAAAUGUAGGAUUUUUUAAAAGUCUGUGUGGCUGCACAAAAAGCUGAAAAUAAAAAGGACAUGCAUGAGAAGAGGACUGAAGGAUAAGUUAACAAGGAUGAGUACAAGCAAGGCUUUUCUUUUUAGUUGGACGUUGCUGGAACUCAGUUCUGGCACCUCUCAGGUGCCAUAAAAAGAGAGUGGUGAGUUCUGGCACCUCUUUUUCUAGGAAAAAAGCAUUGAGUACAAGUAUCCUAGACUUGUUGGAAGAGUGUCAGCAAAGCUAAAGCUCAGAAAGAAUUGACGGUGGCAAGAAAAAGUGCCUUUUGGGGCAUGUUCAGAAUAAGAGAAGAGGAAGGAAAUGGGGUAUGUAGCUCAGUAGGAAUUGUGAAAUGUUAAUGGGUGACAGCAAGAAGGUGGAAUUGCUGAAUUCCUAUUUUUGCCUCUGUCUUUUCCCAAGGGGGAAUUGUGUGCUAACCUGCAUAAUAGCAUGACUGUUGAGGAGUCAGGAUUGCAGUUCAAGAUUACCAUAAUAAGGAGUUGUCAAAAAAUAUCUAGCUAUUUUAAUUGAGUUUAAGAUUUCAAGGCCAGAUGACUUGUAUCUAGGGUACUAAAGAACUUGUUGAUAUACUGUCAGAACAUCUGACUAUCAUCUUUAAGCAAUCUAGAAAACAGGUAAAGUGCCACAGGACUGCAAACAAAAAUGAGGAAAGGAGAAUCUGGCAACUUUGGGCAGCUCAUUCUGACCAAUUCCAGGGAAGAUACUUGAAAAGAUUAUAAAGAAGUCAGUUUGCAAGCACCUUGAGAAAAAUGAAGUGGUUAGUAGAAGUCAGCAUGAAUUUGUAAAUAAUAAUGCCAAAGUAAUUUAAACUUUGUUUUGAUCAGUUUAGUAGAUGGUGGGAAUGCUGUAGAUGUAAAUUAUCUUGAUUUCAGCAAAGUUCCCAUUGAUAUUUUGGUUAGCAUAAACAUUUAACAGUUGUGUAGAAGAGAGGUUUUAGGCAGGUACAGCUUGUCAUGCAGGAAUAUGUUGCGCCAGUUAAAAUUUGCAUCCACAAUACUACUCAAUUUCCUAAAACGUUCUUAAAGCAUAAAAUGUCAUCCUUUCAAUUCCAACAGCCAGCUUGGUGCAAGAGUUUAAUGGAAUAAGUACAAUAAUAUGCUAUCCCCCAGAAUUAUUUUGUUGUCCUUAAUGGCCAUGUUGGAAUUUAGGUCAGAUGUGAUCUGAAGCAAUAAAUAGCAAUACAAUUGCACUAUGGUUUGUCAUGUUGAAAUGCUCCCAUUGCUUGGAAGAGUGUCCUCAUCUAAUUUAGUUACUUUGAGAAGAAUUCUUACCCCAUUAAGAUAUAAUCUGAUUUCAACAGUAGUUUUGAAAUUGAGAAUGCCCAUGUUGCGUAUAAAGUUCAUUUAUGCUUUUUGCUGCACAGGACCGAGGAAAAUAUAUUAUGUUUUUAAAUGUCUCUUUCAUAUCUCAGUUAUAUAUAAAUGACUUCCACCACUGCUGAUGAGUAAAGAGAACUGGUCAAACUUUCUGCUAGGAAAAAAAUAUCUCAGCAAAAGUUACUUAAGCCAGCAAUUUAUGCCUUGGCAUCAUCUCUUGCUGCUUUUCUUGAAUCCCAUGUUGUGAACU